Molecule: ribosomal RNA, 253 nt
Filed under: uncultured bacterium
Lineage: Bacteria
Description: partial 16S ribosomal RNA
Rfam family: Bacterial small subunit ribosomal RNA
Source: RNAcentral
UACGUAGGGCGCAAGCGUUGUCCGGAAUUAUUGGGCGUAAAGAGCUCGUAGGCGGUUUGUCGCGUCUGCUGUGAAAACCUAAGGCUCAACCUUGGGCUUGCAGUGGGUACGGGCAGACUAGAGUGUGGUAGGGGAGACUGGAAUUCCUGGUGUAGCGGUGAAAUGCGCAGAUAUCAGGAGGAACACCGAUGGCGAAGGCAGGUCUCUGGGCCACUACUGACGCUGAGACGCGAAAGCGUGGGGAGCAAACAGG